Molecule: small RNA, 4294 nt
Filed under: Pan troglodytes (chimpanzee)
Lineage: Eukaryota; Metazoa; Chordata; Mammalia; Primates; Hominidae
Description: retained intron
Source: RNAcentral
GGGCACCAGAGUGCCGAGCCCAGGACGCCCCCGGCCCAGGCCCGUGGGGUGGACAAGUCCUUCACUUCUCGCCGGAGUGUGUGGAGGAGUGAUGGGCAGAACCAGCACUUCCCUCAGGCACUAGACCUAUCACGAGUGAACUUAGUUCCCUCCUAUACUCCUUCACUCUACCCUAAGAACACAGAUCUAUUUGAGAUGAUUGAGAAGAUGCAGGGAAGCAGGAUGGAUGAACAACGCUGCUCCUUCCCACCGCCCCUCAAAACAGAGGAGGACUACAUUCCGUACCCGAGCGUGCACGAGGUCUUGGGGCGAGAAGGACCCUUCCCCCUCAUCCUGCUGCCCCAGUUUGGGGGCUACUGGAUUGAGGGCACCAACCACGAAAUCACCAGCAUCCCCGAGACAGAGCCACUGCAGUCGCCCACAACCAAGGUGAAGCUCGAGUGCAACCUCACAGCCCGCAUCUACCGGAAGCACUUUCUCGGCAAGGAGCAUUUCAAUUACUACUCACUGGACACUGCCCUCGGCCACCUUGUCUUCUCACUCAAGUACGAUGUCAUCGGGGACCAAGAGCACCUGCGGCUGCUGCUCAGGACCAAGUGCCGGACAUACCAUGAUGUCAUCCCCAUCUCCUGCCUCACCGAGUUCCCUAAUGUUGUCCAGAUGGCAAAGUUGGUGUGUGAAGACGUCAACGUGGAUCGGUUCUAUCCUGUGCUCUACCCCAAGGCUUCCCGGCUCAUCGUCACCUUUGACGAGCAUGUCAUCAGCAAUAACUUCAAGUUUGGCGUCAUUUAUCAGAAGCUUGGGCAGACCUCCGAGGAAGAACUCUUCAGCACCAAUGAGGAAAGUCCCGCCUUCGUGGAGUUCCUUGAAUUUCUUGGCCAGAAGGUCAAACUGCAGGACUUUAAGGGGUUCCGAGGAGGCCUGGACGUGACCCACGGGCAGACGGGGACCGAAUCUGUGUACUGCAACUUCCGCAACAAGGAGAUCAUGUUUCACGUGUCCACCAAGCUGCCAUACACAGAAGGGGACGCCCAGCAGUUGCAGCGGAAGCGGCACAUCGGGAACGACAUCGUGGCUGUGGUCUUCCAGGAUGAGAACACUCCUUUCGUGCCCGACAUGAUCGCGUCCAACUUCCUGCAUGCCUACGUAGUGGUGCAGGCUGAGGGCGGGGGCCCUGAUGGCCCCCUCUACAAGGUCUCUGUCACUGCAAGAGAUGAUGUGCCCUUCUUUGGACCCCCCCUCCCGGACCCCGCUGUGUUCAGGAAGGGGCCUGAGUUCCAGGAAUUUUUGCUGACAAAGCUGAUCAAUGCUGAAUAUGCCUGCUACAAGGCAGAGAAGUUUGCCAAACUGGAGGAGCGGACGCGGGCCGCCCUCCUGGAGACGCUCUAUGAGGAACUACACAUCCACAGCCAGUCCAUGAUGGGCUUGGGCGGCGACGAGGACAAGAUGGAGAAUGGCAGUGGGGGCGGCGGCUUCUUUGAGUCUUUCAAGCGGGUCAUCCGGAGCCGCAGCCAGUCCAUGGAUGCCAUGGGGCUGAGCAACAAGAAGCCCAACACUGUGUCCACCAGCCACAGCGGGAGCUUCGCGCCCAACAACCCCGACCUGGCCAAGGCGGCUGGAAUAUCAUUGCUUAUUCCUGGGAAAAGUGCGAGUAGAUUCGGACGCCGGGGCAGUGCCAUAGGCAUAGGAACCGUGGAAGAGGUUGUCGUCCGCGGGGCCGCCGGCUCUGGAGGCUGCCUGCACGCGCUGUUCUCUGCUCGCUCUCAGGACGGAGGCCAUAUUGGGGACGUUGCCCCUCUGCCCCCGGGACAGGCCCCAGGGCGUGCGGGAUGGAGUGGCGGCAGCUCCGAUGGCACUCAGCACCUGCUUUGGGGCCUGGUACCUGUGCCAGAGCCAGUGCCCCUCACCAGGGGCUUCUGGCCCUGCCUUGGCCCCUGGGACCCUGGCCCAGUCCCUGCCAGGAUCCGGUACCCAAAGGCCCUACACCCAGCCGCACGUCCCCCAAUAUCGCCGGUCUGCAUGGAGCGCCAUCCCUCUCCUCUGCCCUGACUCCUCCUCCCCGCCACGAAGUGACCUGGGGUCCUACCCCUUCCUGCCUCCAGAGAAGCUGGGGGCGGGCUUCUGGGGCCUGGGGCAUCCCAGCACAGUGUGUGGGAAGCUGGGGGAGUCUUCCAGCUGCUGGGCCAGAACCUCCCCCAGCCAAUUUGGAGGUUCCGGGGAGGGGCCCUAGCUGGCACGGGGUGGGACUUGGGUUGCUACACUGCCCUCUGACCACUGCCCUUAGGCUGCAGAUCCCACAGAGCCCUGGGGGACGGGGAGCAGUAGCCAUUCUGAGGACUUGGCCUCCUCCCACCCUAGCCCCCUCAGGACACUGUCCUAAUCCUGGGCCAGUAUUGACGUGCAGUCCUGCCGUGUGAGCUCGGGAGAGCCCCUUGCCCUCCUGGGGACUGUUUCCCUUUCGUAAACUGGGAGGCUGUCUCUGGGGAUGGAUAUCUUCUCUCGUUCUUUCUUGCUCAUCAACUCUGCUUCAGGGCCUGGGGCAGCAGGGUCCCCAGAGGGGAUGUGGGGGGGGCCCUGGGGCUCCCAGGUAAGGUGGCACUGAGUUGGGGCCUCUCCCCACAGUCACUGAUUGUCCCUGGGAAGAGUCCCACGAGGAAGAAGUCGGGCCCGUUCGGCUCCCGCCGCAGCAGCGCCAUUGGCAUCGAGAACAUACAGGAGGUGCAGGAGAAGAGGGAGAGCCCUCCAGCUGGUCAGAAGACCCCAGACAGCGGGCACGUCUCACAGGAGCCCAAGUCGGAGAACUCAUCCACUCAGAGCUCCCCAGAGAUGCCCACGACCAAGAACAGAGCGGAGACCGCAGCGCAGAGAGCAGAGGCGCUCAAGGACUUCUCCCGCUCCUCGUCCAGUGCCAGCAGCUUCGCCAGCGUGGUGGAGGAGACGGAGGGUGUGGACGGAGAGGACACAGGCCUGGAAAGCGUGUCGUCCUCAGGAACACCCCACAAGCGGGACUCCUUCAUCUAUAGCACGUGGCUGGAGGACAGUGUCAGCACCACUAGUGGGGGCAGCUCCCCAGUGAGGUGGCUCCCUCCUGCCCCCCUCCCCAGGCCCCUCUCGAUCACCCCACCCAGACGCCGGCAAGUUGGGGGACCCUGCGUGUCCCGAGAUCAAGAUCCAGCUGGAAGCAUCUGAGCAGCACAUGCCCCAGCUGGGCUGUUAGCCGGGCCACCCCCUCUGAAGGUGAAACUGAGCAGAUGAGGCCACAGAAGCACAAGGGGAAGGUGCCGUGUCAAGCCCAGGCAGACGAGACCUCUGCCCUGAAGACCAACACCAGCCCGUGGGCUGCCCCCUGCCUCCCUACCCUCCCCAUGGCCCACCCAUCUGGGCUGUCUCUGCAGGGCAGAGCUGUCCAGACCUGGGAUCAGGGAAGCUGCUGGCAUCGUCCUCACCCCCAGCCUGGGGGUCUGGGCUGGGGCAGGGAUUGCUCAGUGGAAGCAGGACUGGGGGUCUGGCUUGCCCCCUCCCUAGGCCUCCAUCACCCCUGAGUAUCCCUCUGGACUCAGAGGGAACAAGGUGGGAGAGAGAGUUUGAGACAGCUCCAUGUGGAGAGCUUAGCCCCUGGAGGCAGCACAAGGAAGAUGUGAUAUGUGGGGGAGUGAGCACUGGGUUGGGAGCCGGGUCCUGGUUUCCAAUUUGGGUUCUGCUGUGUGACUCUGGGCAAGUCACUCUCCCUCUCUGGGCAUGUCUGCUACAAAUGGACAAGAUUAUUUCAGAGGUCAGUGAAGACUGUGAUUACAUGCACCUGCCCUAGAAGGUGGGAUUUUCUUCCCAGGGACCUCCCAUCACCCUACCCUGCCUCUUGAGGUCCCUGGAGCCCCAGAUGGGCUGAGGGGCAGGGAGCUGGCUGUGCCCAGUAUGCCUCCUGGACCCUCCAGUUCUGCCACAGGUCUGCCGAUGCCCUGUCCACUGCCUACACAUGACAGACAAGUAACCCCCUCAUGGGGGAUGGGGACCUACCUGGCUCCUCAGCCAGCACCCAGCUUAACCCCUGCCAUCCCAUGCUGGGCCCUCCAGGCCAAGAGUCUCAGCUGGCCGAGAGUCCAGGCCUUGCCUCCCCCGACCGCCAUGGAGGGGGCAGCCCGGCACAGCUGCUGGGAGCCCUUGUGUGUCUGGUCACACUUUUUAGGCGCCACGCCAAAGGCCAGCCUCCUGGACCCAAUACCCAUUUUGGAAGCCCCUGUGGCCGUGUGGAUGUCGGUAACAGUUGUAUAAAAUAAAUUCUAUUUAUCGCUAUUGU